Long non-coding RNA from Ficedula albicollis (Collared flycatcher), 1999 nucleotides. NCBI's taxonomy places the organism in Eukaryota, Metazoa, Chordata, Aves, Passeriformes, Muscicapidae. The record is from Ensembl.
AAACCAAUAAAAGAAAAAGCCACCAACCAUGUAAUGGCUACUUUUAACCACUUAACAUACAGUUUAAAUCUCUAAAGAGGAAUAAUAAUACAUUUAUUUCUGAAGUACCUGAAGUUGCCAAAGGCACUCAGGGUGCUCUGCGAUAUAAAACCGUUUCUAAAAAUAACUUAGCACAUUAUAAAAAGGCUCUGUGUAGUGAAUGUACUUAGUGAGCAGGUGAAACGUUUCUGACAGAACAUGUUUCUCCUGGAAGAGGCUGGUCCACUUGAACUGGAUCAGUUUGAGGGGGUUUCCAGUGUGAAGCUAGCCAGGCAAUUCUUGAAUUUUUUUUACAAAAAAAAAAAACAAAAAACAAAACUGUUCUGGUGGUGCCAGCUGUGGGGCUGGAAUGGAAGGCAGUGGUUGCAGUUGUUGUUGGGGAUGGAGCUCCUUGAUAAAGGCUCUGCAAUGGAAGGGAUGCAACACCAGGGAUGCAAUGCCAGGGAUGCAAUGCCAGGGAUGCAACACCAAGGGAUGCAAUGGCAAGGAUGCAAUGGCCAGGGAUGCAAUGGAAGAGAUGCAAUGGCAGGGAUGCAACGGCCAGGGAUGCAACGGCAGGGAUGCAAUGGAAGAGAUGCAAUGGCAGGGAUGCAAGGGCCAGGGAUGCAAUGGCCAGGGAUGCAACGGCAGGGAUGCAAUGCCAAGGGAUGCAACGGCAGGGAUGCAAUGCAAGGGAUGCAAUGCAAGGGAUGCAAUGCCAGGGAUGCAAUGCCAGGAAUGCAAUGGCCAGGGAUGCAAUGCCAGGGAUGCAAUGCCAAGGGAUGUAAUGGUUAGGGAUGCAAUGCCAGGGAUGCAAUGCCAGGGAUGCAACACCAAGGGAUGCAAUGGCAAGGAUGCAAUGGCCAGGGAUGCAAUGGAAGAGAUGCAAUGGCAGGGAUGCAACGGCCAGGGAUGCAACGGCAGGGAUGCAAUGGAAGAGAUGCAAUGGCAGGGAUGCAAGGGCCAGGGAUGCAAUGGCCAGGGAUGCAACGGCAGGGAUGCAAUGCCAAGGGAUGCAACGGCAGGGAUGCAAUGCAAGGGAUGCAAUGCAAGGGAUGCAAUGCCAGGGAUGCAAUGCCAGGAAUGCAAUGGCCAGGGAUGCAAUGCCAGGGAUGCAAUGCCAAGGGAUGUAAUGGUUAGGGAUGCAAUGCCAGGGAUGCAAUGCCAGGGAUGCAACACCAAGGGAUGCAAUGGCAAGGAUGCAAUGCAAGGGAUGCAACGGCAGGGAUGCAAUGUCAAGGGAUGCAAUGGCCAGGGAUGCAAUGGCAAGAAUGCAAUGGCCAAGGAUGCAAUGGCAGGGAUGCAAUGUCAAGGGAUGCAAUGGCCAGGGAUGCAAUGGCAAGAAUGCAAUGGCCAGGGAUGCAAUGGCAGGGAUGCACCAAUCCCUGUGCCACAUUCCCCAACUCCAUCCGGAGAGAAAAGUCCUCUCGGCCACCCAGCCCUAGGAGCAGGCACAGAGUAUAGGAGCAGAGCCGGUUCCUUUGCCAGCUGCAGCUCCCGGGAUGCAGGAAUGGGCAGGGACAGAGGCUCGGGGCCGCCCGGGCAGAGCCCGCAUCCCCCCUCCGCGUCCAGCCGGCAACGACCCCCGCUGGAAAGCGAGCAAAUAAAUCCGGGAGGAGGAUUCCCGAGCUGCGGGAGGCGGGGAGGAGGAGGAGGAGGGCCUGUUGCUAUUUGCGGUGGCUCCGUUCGUACCGAAAUUCCGGCGGCAGCGCUCCCGCCGCCGCUCGGGGUUUUGGGAGCGGCCCCGGCCAGCCCCGGCCGCUCAGCCCCGGUGACGGGCAGCGAUUCUCGGGAGGACAGCAGCCUCCAGAGCAGCUCCUGCGGAAAGUUUGGCUGCUGGGAAGGGCCUGGGAGGGAGCUGCGCUGCGCUCUCAUCUGUGUCCUAGGGCCUAAUUGAGUUGGAUACAAAUAUAAACUUACAACAGACGCUUCAGUCGCUCUCUUUAGCUCCUCUCACAAAAAGCCGGUUUAAUGAUCUUUC